Molecule: ribosomal RNA, 253 nt
Filed under: uncultured bacterium
Lineage: Bacteria
Description: partial 16S ribosomal RNA
Rfam family: Bacterial small subunit ribosomal RNA
Source: RNAcentral
UACAGAGGUCUCAAGCGUUGUUCGGAUUCAUUGGGCGUAAAGGGUGCGUAGGCGGCGAGGCAAGUCGGAUGUGAAAUCCCGGGGCUCAACUCCGGAACUGCAUUCGAUACUGCUUUGCUAGAGUACUGGAGAGGAGACUGGAAUUUACGGUGUAGCAGUGAAAUGCGUAGAUAUCGUAAGGAAGACCAGUGGCGAAGGCGAGUCUCUGGACAGUUACUGACGCUGAGGCACGAAGGCCAGGGGAGCAAACGGG